Molecule: long non-coding RNA, 713 nt
Filed under: Physcomitrium patens
Lineage: Eukaryota; Viridiplantae; Streptophyta; Bryopsida; Funariales; Funariaceae
Description: long non-coding RNA (PPAT_LNC000501)
Source: RNAcentral
UAACUUAUUUUUUAAGAAGUGUGCAAAAUUUGAGUUAAGAUCAAUGAUUUAUUCAUUAAUUAUUGAGAUUUAAAUCUAUUAUAAGAAUUAUAAGGAUUUGGUUAGGGAUUGAUUUAGGAUUUAGAGUUUGGUUAGGAUUUGAUUUAGGAUUUAGGAUUUGAUUUAGAAUUUGGUUGAGAUUUGGUUUAGGAUUUGAUUUAGGUUUAGGAUUUGAUUUAGGAUUAGGGUUUGAUUAGGAUUUGAUAAGGGUUUGAUUAGGAUUUGAUAAGGGUUUGAUUAGGAUUUGAUAAGGGUUUGAUUUAGGAUUUAUUUAGGGUUUGAGAUUUGGUUUAGAUUUUGGUUAGGAUUUUAUUUAGAUUUUAGGAUUUUGUUUAGGAUUUGGUUAGGAUUUGAUUUAGAAUUUGAUUGAGAUUUGGUUUAAGAUUUGUUUAGGAUUUAGGGUUUGAUUUAGGAUUUAGGAUUUUAUUAGGGUUUAAGAUUUAAUUAGUUUUGGUCUAAAGUUUGAAUGAAGUCCAAUAGGAUUUUAAUUAGAAUUAAAUUAAGAUUGAAAUGAGAUGUAUUUGAGAGAUAUUUGUGAUCAUUUCAAUUAUUUCUUUAAGAUUUCUUAUUAUUUCUUAUUAUUUCUUUGAGGUUGUUUUGAAUUUGAUUAAAGCUUGCUUAGCAUUAUUAUGGUCUAAUUAGAGUUUAGUUAGUAUUCUAUUAGAGUUAAGAUU